RNAcentral lists this ribosomal RNA (738 nucleotides) under Rhytismataceae sp. RB-2011. RNAcentral's name for it is "eukaryotic LSU rRNA". The stretch from base 377 to 530 matches the Rfam family "5.8S ribosomal RNA". Lineage: Eukaryota; Fungi; Ascomycota; Leotiomycetes; Rhytismatales; Rhytismataceae. The record is from RNAcentral.
CUUGGUCAUUUAGAGGAAGUAAAAGUCGUAACAAGGUUUCCGUAGGUUGCGUUCAGCCUGCUGGAGCGGUCUGCGACCGCUAGUCUCUCAGAGGCAACACGCCCACCGUGCGGAGAGGCCCUUCAGGGCAACCCGCAGCUGUUUCUCCUAACAGCUCAGAGGCUCAAUAGGCGUGGGCGCUGUAGCUACAGCGCUUGAGAUAGAGUCCACCCUCGCUGGCAACGGCGGGGAGCAAGUGGAACCUGCGGAAGGAUCAUUACAGAAUAUACUUAUUCUCACCCUCUGUGUACCAAACCACUGUUGCCUCGGCGCGCCCCUGCGUCAGAGGACCUAAACACUGAAAUUAUACUGUCUGAGUUGCUAUGCAAAUAGUCAAAACUUUCAACAACGGAUCUCUUGGUUCGGGUAUUGAUGAAGAACGCAGCGAAAUGCGAUAAGUAAUGCGAAUUGCAGAAUUCAGUGAGUCAUCAAAUCUUUGAACGCACAUUGCGCUCCCUGGUAUUCCGGGGAGCAUGCCUGUCUGAGCGUCAUUACAACCUUUGCGCUCUGCGCAGUGUUGAGCGCAGCCUCCUGGGCUCGCUUCAAAUUCAGUGGCAGCACCGCAGAGCCCCUACGCGCAGUGAUCACCGCCGCCGGUGGAGCGCUGCGAGUGCUCGCCAGUCAACCCCCACUUGCUAGGUUGACCUCAGAUCAGGCAGAGAUACCCGCUGAACUUAAGCAUAUCAAUAAGCGGAGGAA